UACAGAGGGGGCAAGCGUUAUUCGGAAUUAUUGGGCGUAAAGGGCGCGUAGGCGGCCUGACAAGUGGAAGGUGAAAUCCCUCGGCUUAACCGAGGAACUGCCCUCCAAACUGUCUGGCUUGAGACCGGGAGAGGUGAGUGGAAUUCCCAGUGUAGAGGUGAAAUUCGUAGAUAUUGGGAAGAACACCGGUGGCGAAGGCGGCGACCUGGUCCAUUACUGACGCUGAGGCGCGACAGCGUGGGGAGCAAACAGG
This 253-nucleotide ribosomal RNA is filed under the name uncultured bacterium. RNAcentral describes it as "partial 16S ribosomal RNA". It matches the Rfam family "Bacterial small subunit ribosomal RNA", at positions 524 to 776 of the family's 1533-position model. The record is from RNAcentral.